RNAcentral lists this ribosomal RNA (820 nucleotides) under uncultured bacterium. RNAcentral's name for it is "bacterial SSU rRNA". It matches the Rfam family "Bacterial small subunit ribosomal RNA", at positions 97 to 913 of the family's 1533-position model. The record is from RNAcentral.
GGCGAACGGGUGAGUAAUACAUCGGAACGUGCCCGAUCGUGGGGGAUAACGAAGCGAAAGCUUUGCUAAUACCGCAUACGAUCUACGGAUGAAAGCGGGGGAUCUUCGGACCUCGCGCGGACGGAGCGGCCGAUGGCAGAUUAGGUAGUUGGUGGGAUAAAAGCUUACCAAGCCGACGAUCUGUAGCUGGUCUGAGAGGAUGAUCAGCCACACUGGGACUGAGACACGGCCCAGACUCCUACGGGAGGCAGCAGUGGGGAAUUUUGGACAAUGGGCGCAAGCCUGAUCCAGCCAUGCCGCGUGCAGGAUGAAGGCCUUCGGGUUGUAAACUGCUUUUGUACGGAACGAAAAGGUGCCUUCUAAUAAAGGGCGCUCAUGACGGUACCGUAAGAAUAAGCACCGGCUAACUACGUGCCAGCAGCCGCGGUAAUACGUAGGGUGCGAGCGUUAAUCGGAAUUACUGGGCGUAAAGCGUGCGCGGGCGGUUUUGUAAGACAGAGGUGAAAUCCCCGGGCUCAACCUGGGAACUGCCUUUGUGACUGCAAGGCUGGAGUGCGGCAGAGGGGGAUGGAAUUCCGCGUGUAGCAGUGAAAUGCGUAGAUAUGCGGAGGAACACCGAUGGCGAAGGCAAUCCCCUGGGCCUGCACUGACGCUCAUGCACGAAAGCGUGGGGGAGCAAACAGGAUUAGAUACCCUGGUAGUCCACGCCCUAAACGAUGUCAACUGGGUUGUUGGGGAUUAAUUUUCUCAGUAACGAAGCUAACGCGUGAAGUUGACCGCCUGGGGAGUACGGCCGCAAGGUUGAACUCAAAGGAAUUGA